AAGAAUGUCUUGAAGAUGUAUGACACCACAAGAAUACUUCACAAGGCUUAAACAAUAUGUGAAUUGACCCACAACAAUAAUAAUAUGACAAUGAUCAAAUUGGUAUAUGGUUUUCCACAAUUAUUUGCAAGACAACAAUGGUAUUUUUGCUCUUGAUUCAAUGGCAGGAAAAAGAGUCUUGUCUUGCAAUAAUGUGGGAAUCGUAACCCCCACUUUAUAACAAAAGAGUUACAUAACCCAAGAGUCACAAGAGUUACAUAACUC
RNAcentral lists this long non-coding RNA (264 nucleotides) under Nicotiana benthamiana. RNAcentral's name for it is "long non-coding RNA (NBEN_LNC006679)". Lineage: Eukaryota; Viridiplantae; Streptophyta; Magnoliopsida; Solanales; Solanaceae. The record is from RNAcentral.